This is a long non-coding RNA of Mangifera indica (mango), 974 nucleotides long. RefSeq lists it as uncharacterized. Lineage: Eukaryota; Viridiplantae; Streptophyta; Magnoliopsida; Sapindales; Anacardiaceae. The record is from RefSeq and is a predicted model, not a curated record. The transcript is spliced from 2 exons.
CAACCAUCCAUUAUUUGCUGCCCAUGUAGGUCAUAUUACCUUUAUUGACAAGUUCAGUUAUUAUUACUAGCCACAAGUAUUUGUUAGUUGAGCAAAUUAUUUUGGCCGACAUACCUUAUCACUUCUAAAGCACUCAACCAUGUGUCUUCUACUUGUUACCUCUGAAACAUUUUCAAGAAUGUAUAAAAGUUUGUCAUAAUUUCCAGUAAUUUAUAAUAUAUUCAGUCUUAUGAGCCUGACUCAACUUCAAUUUCCAGAAGAUCGAAUCAUAAUCAGGUUUUAUUUUAUGUUACAGAACAAUAUUAAAAAUCUUUUGGCGUUACAUCAGUUAUUUUAUCUUUUGGAUUUCAUUUUAUGAGUGAAAUAUCUAUGUGAUGUGCCCACACGUUAGAAUAAGCAUAAUAUAAAGUGAGUAAAUUAUGCCCUGAGGAAGAGCAUCUAAUGAGUGCGGCAUCUCCCACCGAGAGGCCUCCAGUCUACUUAUUCUAUUCUCUUCUGUGCCACCAUUGAUAGCUCCAGUUGAUUGCAAAUUUGUAACUCCACUACUAUAUAUACAUGUCUUUUGAUGCAAUUAUCGGUCGAGGCCAUCGAUUUCUCAUCUCUUGAAUUACUUGAGUGCAGAAAUACAAAUCAUGGCAUCAGUCAAAGCUGAGAAACCUGUUGGCACUCAACCUGUUAAGGCCGGCACUAGCACUCCCAAGGCUCCCGCCUCCAAGCCUGCCCCUAAAAAGGCCGAGCAAAAACCCCGGGAGCCGAAGAAGAAGGCAUCAGGAGGGAAGGCAGGAGCUAAGAAUUAAUAACGUUGAGGAGGACAAGAGCCUUGGUGAAUAUGUGAAGAUCUCAUGAAGCUCAAACUUUUGUUUGUUGUUCUUCGUUAGCCUUGUUUUAUAUUAUGAAAGCUCUUGCUUCCAAAUUAUAUCUAUGUAUCUCUUCAAAGGCUUUGCCUAAUAAAUAAAGGCUUAAUAGUUCCUAAA